CUCCUACGGGAGGCAGCAGUGGGGAAUCUUGCGCAAUGCGCGAAAGCGUGACGCAGCAACGCCGCGUGGGGGAAGAAGGCUUUCGGGUUGUAAACCCCUUUCAGUUGGGACGAAGCUUCAGCGGUGAACAGCCGUAUGGAGUGACGGUACCUUCACAAGAAGCACCGGCUAACUACGUGCCAGCAGCCGCGGUAAUAC
This 198-nucleotide ribosomal RNA is filed under the name uncultured bacterium. Its description in RNAcentral is "partial 16S ribosomal RNA". It matches the Rfam family "Bacterial small subunit ribosomal RNA", at positions 336 to 526 of the family's 1533-position model. The record is from RNAcentral.